Molecule: ribosomal RNA, 492 nt
Filed under: uncultured bacterium
Lineage: Bacteria
Description: partial 16S ribosomal RNA
Rfam family: Bacterial small subunit ribosomal RNA
Source: RNAcentral
GAUGAACGCUAGCUACAGGCUUAACACAUGCAAGUCGAGGGGCAGCGGUAUCGAAAGCUUGCUUUCGGUAGCCGGCGACCGGCGCACGGGUGAGUAACGCGUAUCGAACCUGCCUCAUACUCGGGAAUAGCCUUGCGGAAGUAAGAUUAAUGCCCGGUGUUUUCAGAGUCCCGCAUGAGGCUUUGAACAAAGAUUUAUCGGUAUGAGAUGGCGAUGCGUCCCAUUAGCUUGUUGGCGGGGUAACGGCCCACCAAGGCAUCGAUGGGUAGGGGUUCUGAGAGGAAGGUCCCCCACAUUGGAACUGAGACACGGUCCAAACUCCUACGGGAGGCAGCAGUGAGGAAUAUUGGUCAAUGGGCGGAAGCCUGAACCAGCCAAGUAGCGUGCAGGAAGACGGCCCUCCGGGUUGUAAACUGCUUUUAGUUGGGAAUAAAACGGGGCUCGUGAGCCCCCUUGCAUGUAACAUCAGAAAAAGGACCGGCUAAUUCCGUG